UACGUAGGGUGCGAGCGUUAAUCGGAAUUACUGGGCGUAAAGCGUGCGUAGGCGGUUCGUUGUGUCUGUGGUGAAAGCCCCGGGCUUAACCUGGGAAUGGCCAUGGAAACUGGCGAGCUGGAGUGUGGCAGAGGAGGGUGGAAUUCCGCGUGUAGCAGUGAAAUGCGUAGAGAUGCGGAGGAACACCGAUGGCGAAGGCAGCACUCUGGGCUAACACUGACGCUGAGGCACGAAAGCGUGGGGAGCAAACAGG
This 253-nucleotide ribosomal RNA is filed under the name uncultured bacterium. RNAcentral's name for it is "partial 16S ribosomal RNA". It matches the Rfam family "Bacterial small subunit ribosomal RNA", at positions 524 to 776 of the family's 1533-position model. The record is from RNAcentral.